This 116-nucleotide ribosomal RNA is filed under the name Pteropus alecto (black flying fox). The record is from RNAcentral. Lineage: Eukaryota; Metazoa; Chordata; Mammalia; Chiroptera; Pteropodidae.
GUCUAUGGCCAUGUCACCCUGAAAAAAUCCGAUGUCUCAUCUCGGAAGCUAAGCAGGGUUGGGCCUGGUUAGUACUUGGAUGGGAGACACCCUAGGAAGACUAGGUGCUGUAGGCA